GGGCCCGCACAAGCAGUGGAGUAUGUGGUUUAAUUCGAAGCAACGCGAAGAACCUUACCAGGGCUUGACAUGCAGGUGGAUAUGGCAGAGAUGUCAUAGCUCUUCGGAGCGCCUGUGCAGGUGGUGCAUGGUUGUCGUCAGCUCGUGUCGUGAGAUGUUGGGUUAAGUCCCGCAACGAGCGCAACCCCUGUUGUUAGUUGCCAUCAUUAAGUUGGGCACUCUAACGAGACUGCCGGUGACAAAUCGGAGGAAGGUGGGGACGACGUCAAAUCAUCAUGCCCCUUAUGUCCUGGGCUACACACGUACUACAAUGGCUAUAACAGCAGGAAGCGAAGGAGCAAUCCGGAGCAAAUCCCUAAAAAUAGUCCCAGUUCGAAUUGUGGGCUGCAACCCGCCCACAUGAAGUCGGAAUUGCUAGUAAUGGCAGGUCAGCAUACUGCCGUGAAUACGUUCCCGGGCCUU
Molecule: ribosomal RNA, 462 nt
Filed under: uncultured bacterium
Lineage: Bacteria
Description: bacterial SSU rRNA
Rfam family: Bacterial small subunit ribosomal RNA
Source: RNAcentral